RNAcentral lists this ribosomal RNA (441 nucleotides) under uncultured bacterium. RNAcentral's name for it is "partial 16S ribosomal RNA". It matches the Rfam family "Bacterial small subunit ribosomal RNA", at positions 338 to 795 of the family's 1533-position model. The record is from RNAcentral.
CCUACGGGUGGCAGCAGUGGGGAAUAUUGGACAAUGGGGGAAAGCCUGAAGCAGCAAAGCAGCGUGAGGGAAGACGGCUCUAGGAGUGGAAAGCUCCGUUAAUAGGGGAGAGGAAGGAAGGUAGCAGAAGAGUAAGUAAGGGCUACAUGAAUGCGAGCAGGCGAGGUAAGUGGGAGGUGGCACGGGUUGUCCGGAAUUACUGGGGUUAAAGGAUGCGUAGGGGGUUAAACAAGUUAUAUGUUAAAUAUAUAGGCUUAACCUUUAGAAUGCAUAUAAAACUGUUUAACUAGAGUGCAGGAGAGGUAGGUGGAAUUCGUGGUGUAGCGGUGAAAUGCUUAGAUAUUACGAAGAACUCCGAUUGCGAAGGCGGCUUACUGGACUGUAACUGACGCUGAGGCAUGAAAGUGUGGGUAGCAAACAGGAUUAGAUACCCGAGUAGUC